ACUGACGUGGAUAGAUUUGAAAUGCUUGCAACCACGGGAAAAAAAUGCUAAAACAGUCCUC
Regulatory RNA element from Bacteroidales bacterium Barb4, 61 nucleotides. The record is from Rfam. Lineage: Bacteria; Pseudomonadati; Bacteroidota; Bacteroidia; Bacteroidales.